UCCGGUUUGUCACCGGCAGUCCCAUUAGAGUGCCCAACUGAAUGUGGCAACUAAUGGCAAGGGUUGCGCUCGUUGCGGGACUUAACCCAACAUCUCACGACACGAGCUGACGACAGCCAUGCAGCACCUGUGUCCAGGUUCCCUUUCGGGCACCCUCACAUCUCUGCGAGGUUCCUGGCAUGUCAAGGGUAGGUAAGGUUCUUCGCGUUGCGUCGAAUUAAACCACAUGCUCCGCUGCUUGUGCGGGUCCCCGUCAAUUCCUUUGAGUUUUAACCUUGCGGCCGUACUCCCCAGGCGGUCAACUUCACGCGUUAGCUUCGUUACCAAGGAAUUACUUCCCCGACAACCAGUUGACAUCGUUUAGGGCGUGGACUAC
RNAcentral lists this unclassified non-coding RNA (376 nucleotides) under uncultured Gammaproteobacteria bacterium. RNAcentral describes it as "contains 16S-23S intergenic spacer region". Lineage: Bacteria; Pseudomonadati; Pseudomonadota; Gammaproteobacteria. The record is from RNAcentral.